Molecule: ribosomal RNA, 471 nt
Filed under: Pseudomonas sp. enrichment culture clone d1017-3_OTU2
Lineage: Bacteria; Pseudomonadati; Pseudomonadota; Gammaproteobacteria; Pseudomonadales; Pseudomonadaceae
Description: bacterial SSU rRNA
Rfam family: Bacterial small subunit ribosomal RNA
Source: RNAcentral
GUCGAGCGGUAGAGAGAAGCUUGCUUCUCUUGAGAGCGGCGGACGGGUGAGUAAUGCCUAGGAAUCUGCCUGGUAGUGGGGGAUAACGUUCGGAAACGGACGCUAAUACCGCAUACGUCCUACGGGAGAAAGCAGGGGACCUUCGGGCCUUGCGCUAUCAGAUGAGCCUAGGUCGGAUUAGCUAGUUGGUGGGGUAAUGGCUCACCAAGGCGACGAUCCGUAACUGGUCUGAGAGGAUGAUCAGUCACACUGGAACUGAGACACGGUCCAGACUCCUACGGGAGGCAGCAGUGGGGAAUAUUGGACAAUGGGCGAAAGCCUGAUCCAGCCAUGCCGCGUGUGUGAAGAAGGUCUUCGGAUUGUAAAGCACUUUAAGUUGGGAGGAAGGGCAGUUACCUAAUACGUAAUUGUUUUGACGUUACCGACAGAAUAAGCACCGGCUAACUCUGUGCCAGCCGCCGCGGUAAUACA